GGGGUCUUAGACUCCAAAAGACCCAUCUCUAUCAACCCAGUUCAGUCACCCUUACAAGGAGAAAAAUUCAUACUGUAGUGAAGGCAACAGCUCGGGUUGAUAAGUUCUCGAAAAGUGAUGUCAUUGUUUCUCCAUCCAUUCUCUCUGCUAAUUUUUCAAAGCUAGGAGAGCAGGUAAAAGCAGUAGAGUUGGGAGGUUGUGAUUGGAUCCAUGUUGAUGUAAUGGAUGGUCGUUUUGUUCCGAACAUCACCAUUGGGCCUCUUGUGGUUGAUGCUUUGCGGCCAGUGACAGAUCUUCCUUUGGAUGUGCAUUUGAUGAUUGUGGAACCUGAACAAAGAGUGCCAGAUUUUAUCAAGGCUGGAGCUGACAUAGUCAGUGUUCACUGUGAACAAUCCUCCACCAUCCAUUUGCAUCGCACAAUAGAUCAGAUAAAAAGUCUUGGAGCUAAAGCUGGAGUUGUCUUGAACCCU
Molecule: unclassified non-coding RNA, 470 nt
Filed under: Hevea brasiliensis (rubber tree)
Lineage: Eukaryota; Viridiplantae; Streptophyta; Magnoliopsida; Malpighiales; Euphorbiaceae
Source: RNAcentral